This 399-nucleotide ribosomal RNA is filed under the name uncultured Opitutus sp. RNAcentral describes it as "bacterial SSU rRNA". It matches the Rfam family "Bacterial small subunit ribosomal RNA", at positions 999 to 1397 of the family's 1533-position model. The record is from RNAcentral. Lineage: Bacteria; Pseudomonadati; Verrucomicrobiota; Opitutia; Opitutales; Opitutaceae.
AGUGGAGACAUUGUCCUUCAGUUAGGCUGGCCCCAGAACAGGUACUGCAUGGCUGUCGUCAGCCCGUGUCGUGAGAUGUUGGGUUAAGUCCCGCAACGAGCGCAACCCUCGCCCUUAGUUGCCAGCAUUUAGUUGGGCACUCUAAGGAGACAAACCCUCUUUGAGGGUGGGAAGGUGGGGAUGACGUCAAGUCAGGAUGGCCCUUACGUCUAGGGCUGCACACGUACUACGAUGCCCGGUACAGAGGGACGCAAUACCGCGAGGUGGAGCAAAUCCUAAAAACCGGGCCCAGUUCGGAUUGUAGUCUGCAACUCGACUACAUGAAGUUGGAAUCGCUAGUAAUGGCGCAUCAGCUACGGCGCCGUGAAUACGUUCCCGGGCCUUGUACACACCGCCCGU